This is a long non-coding RNA of Astatotilapia calliptera (eastern happy), 2771 nucleotides long. NCBI's taxonomy places the organism in Eukaryota, Metazoa, Chordata, Actinopteri, Cichliformes, Cichlidae. The record is from Ensembl.
GUUUCAAGUCUCUUUGAAGAUUAACGAGCUCAGCGUCUUAACGAGGCUCUUGAUUGCCAGGAAGUCUGAGCUGUAACGAGCUCUGAAUGCUGACGAGCUGACGCCCUCACAGAGAUCAUUAAACCGAAAGCGGCCGUGCGUCAUGUCCGGACCGGUCCGCGCUACACCAGCUGAUAUUUGAACACUUUUAUUGUUCACAUCUCUGGAUUUCUUUCACUUCCUUCCUGCUUUCGCGUCUCCUUCACAUUUCAUAAUCAGAAACGAUUUGCCUUCAGGGGCUCCGUUUAACAAAUAUCACGUGCACUGCUUUCAGCUAUUAUUUUUAUUUAAGCACUUUGCAGAGUAUCCAUCAGAUCCUUUUAAUGUCUGACUUUCAGCUUCACCUUCCUUUCUGUAUCUGUUAUCGAUGUUGGCAGUCUCCUCCUUUCCCUUCACGCUGAAUCGGACGUGUUAAACAAAAGCAAACCUGCUGCUGCUUUAGUUUUCCAGCCAGCACAGAUAGACUCUGAGCUGCUGUUCAACAGCUAAUGACUGGACAGUAAAUCAGGAUAAUGGGCUCUGGGCUGCUCCGGGCCUUUCGUCCGUUCACUGGAUGCUAAAUAUCCGGGGAUUUAAUGGCUGUUUAUCUCUGCUGAUGCUGCAUUCUGUUACUUUGCUUCCCUAAAGGGAAUAAUUAGUCUGGUUAAGCAGGGACCUGACAGGCAGGACGGGGAAACACGCUGAACUCUUUGUACAACUAAUGCUGAAGCCACAGUUUUAAUGGAAACACCAAAGGAACAGCAAACAGUGAUGAAGCACUCGGUGUUUGCCUGUGUUUGUUGUCUCCUGCUUCACAGACAAAUCAGAGUCAUUAGAAUAUAUUAAUUUGACAUUUGCUCAGUUAUUAAAAAAGUCUGUGUGUUCUGACCCUUAGUUCUGGUUCUAAACGCUUCACUUUGGAAUACGAGUGCUUACAGCAACCUGCUGCAGGAACAUAGAGUCUUCACAAUGACCUUUUUUUCUUUAUUUAAGGGCAGACUGCAUGGACACAGGAGGUGUGGCAUCAGGAGGUGUGGCCUCAGGAGGUGUGGCCUCAGGAGGUGUGGUCUCAGGAGGUGUGGUCUCAGGAGGUGUGGUCUCAGAGGUUUGGCUUCAGGUGGUGUGGCCCCAUAGGGGGUGUGGUCUCAGAGGUGUGGCCUCGAGAGGUGUGGCCUCGGGAGGUGUGGCUUCAGGAGGUGUGGCCACGGGGCUGAAAACACCUGAAUUCAAAGAUAAUGAGCUGUGGCCCAAAACGUUUGUCUGUGUAGAGUUUAAGCUCACUGGGUCUGGAGUGUUUUUGUUCUUUGAUUCUGAUCAUUCUGUUAUUUUAUGGUUUUUCAUGGUUUAGUUUGUAUUUCUGCUCCUUUACUGUUCUUGUGCCUCCCUUGUGUUACGUCUAGUCGUCCUUGUCUCCAUGUUGGUGUAUUUCCUGUUCUACUUUGCCGUGUCCUGUGUUAGUCUUUACAGUGUUGCUCUCCCUCCCGUCUCGUCAUGUCCGAUUAGUUUCGGCUGCGUUCCCCUCCUGUUUCCUGUUUCUGUGUAUUUCCCUCUGGAUUACUUCUGCUUCGUAUCCAAAAUAACUUUAUUGCCUUUGCUUCUCUUAUUGCCCGAAAAAGAAUUUUGUUGUCGUGGAAAUCAUGUCAGCCAGCAUUAAAGUCUGGUUACACGACAUCCUAGGACUCCUAAAACUGGAGAAGAUAAAUUCUCCCUCAGAGGCUCAUCUGAUAGAUUUGUUACUCACUGGAAACCAUUACUUAAAUACUUACCGUAGCUUCCAGCACAAGAAAUCUCUUUGUAGUCCAUCAUACGCCCGUGCACAAACGCUCCAGCUGCUUCCAGCAGUGGCUGUUCCACCUUGUAAGAUUACUUCAUUUAGGAUACUCCAGCAUUAUCGAUUUACUUUGACUGAGGAGCAAAUGUCAUUAAUAUCGAUAUUAAUUAGAGUUAAUUAAUGUUGAUUAAUGUCAAUAUGAAUUCACAGGAAUGAGCCCUUUAUUGUUGGUCUUCAUUAUUUGUUUUGAUGUAUGGGUUAAUGUCACGGCUAGACGGUCCUCACCGGUAGCCUUGCCAAUUUUUGUUGUGUUAGUGUGUACUUUGUGGUGUUCUCCUCUCCAUCCUGUGCAUGUGUGUUUGUAUGCUGGAACAUGUACUUCUGGAAGCCGUGGCACGGAAUGGCAGCUGACCCGGGGGGAGGAUCCUGAGCUGGAAUCGUCGCACCUGUGCGUAAUCGCUUCGCCGGCUGCUACUAAUCCGAAGCAGACCUAUUUAACGGUGCAGUCGAGUCACAACCAACGCUGGAACGUCGAGCUAAACCGGGAUCCAGGGAUCGGAGGAGGAGCGGGCACAAGUCACUGCACUGUCACCACGGGGAGAAGCCACCGUGUCACUGCACUGCCCUUUUUGGAUUACAGACUCAAACUGUUGCCUUAUUUUUUCACUGUGAAUAAAUUCACUGUCACUCUGCAAGGAGUCUCGCACCUGAGUCCUUUAACCCAAUUCACCGUGACAGUUAAUCCAUCUUUCUGUAACAUAGUCACCUUCAAAUUAUUGGGGGGUAUUCAUGCCAUCUAUGUUAUUCAUGUUUACUGGAUGUUAUAAAGAAAGAAGAGACGAUCAUUUCUGUCUGUACCUUUGUGCUUAGUGUCUGCAUUUGAUAAUAAAACGAACACAACAGCAGUUUAAAUAUCAGUGCGUCGAAUUCAGACGUCACAACAUUUAAACCGAGUUUCAUUUGCAUCUAAGUGACAGACUCC